CAAUAGCGUAUAUUAAAGUUGUUGCGGUUAAAAAGCUCGUAGUUGGAUUUCUGCUGAGGACGACCGGUCCGCCCUUCGGGUGAGUAUCUGGUUUGGCCUUGGCAUCUUCUUGGUGAACGUAUCUGCACUUGACUGUGUGGUGCGGUACCCAGGACUUUUACUUUGAGGAAAUUAGAGUGUUUCAAGCAGGCAUACGCCUUGAAUACAUUAGCAUGGAAUAAUAAGAUAGGACCUCGGUUCUAUUUUGUUGGUUUCUAGAGCUGAGGUAAUGAUUAAUAGGGAUAGUUGGGGGCAUUCGUAUUUAACUGUCAGAGGUGAAAUUCUUGGAUUUGUUAAAGACGGACUGCUGCGAAAGCAUUUGCCAAGGAUGUUUUCAUUGA
This 380-nucleotide ribosomal RNA is filed under the name uncultured eukaryote. RNAcentral's name for it is "partial 18S ribosomal RNA". It matches the Rfam family "Eukaryotic small subunit ribosomal RNA", at positions 592 to 976 of the family's 1831-position model. The record is from RNAcentral.